This is a non-coding RNA of Nelumbo nucifera (sacred lotus), 799 nucleotides long. Lineage: Eukaryota; Viridiplantae; Streptophyta; Magnoliopsida; Proteales; Nelumbonaceae. The record is from RefSeq and is a predicted model, not a curated record.
UCGAGAUUUCAAAAAAAAAAUGGGAAAAGAAAUCCUUUCGUGGGAUUUCAUGGCAUUGCAAUUUCACAAGAAACAAGCUUGCCAUUUCAAUCCACGGAGUAACUUAUCCGUCGUUCGCUCUAGAGUUAUUUGACUAAUCUCCCUCUCUGAUUCGUUCGGUCGUUAGUCGUCCCUAUUUUGGAUCAUUGGAUCAUCCCUUCUCAUUCUCUGUUAUUGUGGGCUUUCCAUUGGUGCCCGCAUAAAUCUGUUUCAAAGAAAAAAAACCCUCGCUUCAGGACUUAUUUUUACGCCGUGAAUGAUAAACUAAUGUCGGAUCUUCGCUGCCAUUAUUAUCGUAACUACUGACAUAGCUAAGAAUGGAAGCUACAAUAAGGUAUCGCCAGCCGCCCGGAUUGACAACUGGGAUAUUCAAAACUCCCUCGUCCAUUAGCAAUGCCUUUAGCAGCAGUCGCUUGGCACCUGUGUGAUGUAAAUAGGCACCUAUCCAAAAAAAAGGAGAAGACCAGACCUCUAGUUGACGCUUGCGGAAGGGAACGAUGCGAAACGAUUUGAAUGAAAAAGAAGGGGAGUGAUUCUCAGUACCCAGAAGACCGCCUCCAUUCACUUUGCCGGUUCAGCUAGAACUCAGAGCCUGAUCAAAAGCGCGCAAAAGUUUCGCAGAUCCUUUCAGGGCAGGGGAGCUUUGAUAAACUCUGUAGGAUUGAAGCUUUUUUUUUUUUUACUACUAAUUAAAUUUUCCUUUACAAAAAAGAGAACUUUUAGGCAACAUCAUAUAUUCAAGAUCGUUUCCUUUAUUUGA